GCCUACAGCCAUACCACCCUGAACGAGCCGGAUUUCGUCUGAACUGGGAAGCUACGCAGGGUGGGGCCUGGUGAAUACUUGGAUGGGAGACCGCAUGGGAAUAGCGGGUGCUGUAGGCU
Pteropus vampyrus (large flying fox) is the source of this 119-nucleotide ribosomal RNA. The record is from Ensembl. NCBI's taxonomy places the organism in Eukaryota, Metazoa, Chordata, Mammalia, Chiroptera, Pteropodidae.